UUGGACGGCCUCUUGGUGCGUCUAUAAAAGGGACGCGGAGGCCGCGCAGAGGUCUCAUUGAAAACCAUGGAGAGAGACACACGGCUUAGCAGCCAGGAGCAGGAGGUGGUGCUGUGAGUGAGAAAGAUACUAGCCCAGGCAUCAGGAAGACCAACUCUUUCGGCAAGCCACUUCACCUUCCAGUUUGAUGAUCUCUAAAAUGAGUAUAAUGGGAGAAGAAGCACUGACGGAAGUGCUGCUCUUAGCGCUCUCACCCUGGCCACUGAGUGUCUUUGAAGCUCAAGGCAGAGGCCAGUGAUCCACAGUGGAGAAGUGAACAUUCCAUCUCAUUUGAUCUCCAGACAACUCACUGAAUUCACUUUUCUCAUCCACAUUUUUCACCAAGUAGCAUUGACGAGAGAGAGAGGCAGAGCUUGUGGCAAUGUGAGAUUUCAGAUCCCGGGCUGCAGAGGUCCUCCGUCUGCUUCCUUCCCCUGGGCCUGCUCAACAGCAGCACAAAGACCC
Molecule: non-coding RNA, 504 nt
Organism: Callorhinus ursinus (northern fur seal)
Lineage: Eukaryota; Metazoa; Chordata; Mammalia; Carnivora; Otariidae
Source: RefSeq, a predicted model, not a curated record